RNAcentral lists this ribosomal RNA (492 nucleotides) under uncultured bacterium. RNAcentral describes it as "partial 16S ribosomal RNA". It matches the Rfam family "Bacterial small subunit ribosomal RNA", at positions 29 to 507 of the family's 1533-position model. The record is from RNAcentral.
AGUGAACGCUGGCGGUAGGCCUAACGCAUGCAAGUCGAACGGCAGCACAGUAAGAGCUUGCUCUUACGGGUGGCGAGUGGCGGAUGGGUGAGGAAUACAUCGGAAUCUACUUUUUCGUGGGGGAUAACGUAGGGAAACUUACGCUAAUACCGCAUACGACCUACGGGUGAAAGCAGGGGAUCUUCGGACCUUGCGCGAUUGAAUGAGCCGAUGUCGGAUUAGCUAGUUGGCGGGGUAAAGGCCCACCAAGGCGACGAUCCGUAGCUGGUCUGAGAGGAUGAUCAGCCACACUGGAACUGAGACACGGUCCAGACUCCUACGGGAGGCAGCAGUGGGGAAUAUUGGACAAUGGGCGCAAGCCUGAUCCAGCCAUACCGCGUGGGUGAAGAAGGCCUUCGGGUUGUAAAGCCCUUUUGUUGGGAAAGAAAAGCAGCAGGUUAAUACCCCGCUGUUCUGACGGUACCCAAAGAAUAAGCACCGGCUAACUUCGUG